This 81-nucleotide non-coding RNA is filed under the name Platyophrya macrostoma. The record is from RNAcentral. Lineage: Eukaryota; Ciliophora; Colpodea; Cyrtolophosidida; Platyophryidae.
AGAAAAAAAAAAAAAAAGAGUUCAACGUGUGUGAAGAUCUGUUCUGUUUUACCUUCGCUUUUUUUUUUCAUUUUUCACCUU